Molecule: ribosomal RNA, 383 nt
Filed under: Chaetoceros curvisetus
Lineage: Eukaryota; Bacillariophyta; Thalassiosirophyceae; Chaetocerotales; Chaetocerotaceae
Description: partial Eukaryotic large subunit ribosomal RNA
Rfam family: Eukaryotic large subunit ribosomal RNA
Source: RNAcentral
UCAGGCGGGACUACCCGCUGAGUUUAAGCAUAUCAAUAAGCGGAGGAAAAGAAACUAACAAGGAUUCCCCUAGUAACUGCGAGUGAAGCGGGAAAAGCUCAAAUUUAAAAUCUGGCGGUCCUUGUGGCUGUCCGAGUUGUAAUCUAGAGAAGUGCUAUCCGCGCUGGACCGUGUACAAGUCUCCUGGAACGGAGCGUCAUAGAGGGUGAGAAUCCCGUCUUUGACACGGACUACCAGGGCUUUGUGAUGUGCUCUCAAAGAGUCGAGUUGUUUGGGAAUGCAGCUCUAAAUGGGUGGUAAAUUCCAUCUAAAGCUAAAUAUUGGCGAGAGACCGAUAGCGAACAAGUACCGUGAGGGAAAGAUGAAAAGAACUUUGGAAAGAG